Molecule: unclassified non-coding RNA, 1606 nt
Filed under: Hevea brasiliensis (rubber tree)
Lineage: Eukaryota; Viridiplantae; Streptophyta; Magnoliopsida; Malpighiales; Euphorbiaceae
Source: RNAcentral
GCCACAGUCUGCUACGUUGUCCAAGCCGCUUUUCCUCGCAAAUAAUAUCCUUGCCCAUUUGUUGUAGCAGAUCAUGAAUAUGUAACUUGUUUUUCGUAAUAGAAAUAAGAGACAUAUCAGCUAGACGACUAAUUCCAAUUAUUGAGCCAGGGAUAUCCAGUAAAUUUUCAACAAGACCUACAUCUUCCCCUUUGAAGAAGCACACAAUGUCAAGAAAAAUUUCCUUGUCCUUUGCAGAAAGAGCAUCAUAGCUUAGUCUCAAUAUUCUCUGAAUUUUUUCAUCAGAUGUACUUUGCAAUUUUUCUAAUUCAUCUGCCCAUUCUCUCACACUUCUACCAUAUAAAUUGGAACCCAAAACUUUAAUGGCUAAAGGAAUGCCUUGAGCAUAUUCAACGGCCUUAUCUGACAGCACCAUAUGUUCUUUUCCUGCAAUAUCUUGUUUGAAGGCAUGGAAGCGAAAAAGACAAGAAGAUUCACAGUCAUUCAAUUUCUCAACUUCAUAUAUUUGAGCCUCCAUGUUCCUAAGCAGUUGCUUAUCUCUGCUUGUUAUAAUGAAUUUGCUACCUGGACCAUAGAUAGCAGGUUUUCCUAUGGAACGUUCUAUUUGAUCUGAAUCACUCACAUCAUCAAGAGCAAUGAGAACUUUUUCUCGUGACAACCGUCUCCUGGUGGACAGACCUAAAUUACAACUUUCCCUUCCUAAUACUUGAAAAAGGAUUUCCUUUCGUACAGCAUCUGGUCCGCACUUUUCAAACUUUUCCCUGACAUUUGCAGCAAAGCAUCGCCUAUUGAAUUGAUCAGAAAUUCGAUCAAAUAAUUUUUCAGCAAUGGUGGUUUUUCCUAUACCACCCAUCCCCCAAAUUCCUAAAACACGCGUAGACUCAAGGCAUAAUAAGGAUUGAGCAUCCUUGACACGGGAAUCAAUUCCAACUAACCCUUCAUCAAAAGAAUCACUUGGAAACACAUCAUUUAAUUUUUCUGAAAUGUGUUUGACAAUUUCCUUAAUUAGCUCGGAGUCAGGCUUAAUGUUAUGGGAAACCAACCCUGCUAUCCCAGCAAUUUCUCUCAAAGCUUGGCACCAGCUCUCCACCUUGUCUAAAGAGUUGUUGAAAACUUCUCUAUGCUUAGCAAGUGCAGCUCCAAAGCUACCUGUAAGUUCUUGAACAUGGGUUGGAUCUAUACAGUAGAAAACUGGUAAAACCAUUUGUUCCAUGUCUUUCAUGCACUCAAGUAUCUUCACAAGUUCUUCCAAACACCAGGGAGAAUAAGCAUAAUUUUCCGAAAAAAUGACCAACGAAAAGUAUGACUCUUCAAUUAUUUCCAAGAGGGAGGAUGAGAUCUCUUCUCCUCUAUCAAGUUUUUCAUCCACAAAGGUAUUGACUUCGUUUUGGCGCAAAGCCUCCCGCAAAUGGCUGAGAAAACCAUCGCGGAUAUCGGCACCUCUAAAACUAAUGAACACAUCGUACUUCUUCGAUUGAAAAGUGAUCAAGGAAGAAGAAGAAGAAGCCAUAAUUGAGUAAAAGGGAACACAACAAUUGUAUAUAAAGGAAAGAGGAAGACAAGAACACAGCAAUUGUAUGAAGGAAAGAGGAAGACAAGGCUUUUG